GACAGAGGGUGCGAACGUUGUUCGGAAUUACUGGGCGUAAAGCGCGUGUAGGCGGCAGCGCAAGUCGGGCGUGAAAUCCCACGGCUCAACCGUGGAAGUGCACUCGAAACUGCGCAGCUAGAGUCCUGGAGAGGAAGGUGGAAUGCUUGGUGUAGAGGUGAAAUUCGUAGAUAUCAAGCAGAACACCUGCGGCGAAGGCGGCCUUCUGGACGAUGACUGACGCUGAGACACGAAAGCGUGGGGAGCAAACAGG
RNAcentral lists this ribosomal RNA (253 nucleotides) under uncultured bacterium. RNAcentral's name for it is "partial 16S ribosomal RNA". It matches the Rfam family "Bacterial small subunit ribosomal RNA", at positions 524 to 776 of the family's 1533-position model. The record is from RNAcentral.